This 480-nucleotide ribosomal RNA is filed under the name Pseudomonas sp. 01WB03.2-31. RNAcentral describes it as "bacterial SSU rRNA". It matches the Rfam family "Bacterial small subunit ribosomal RNA", at positions 1 to 484 of the family's 1533-position model. RNAcentral also lists the same sequence under 1 other name. The record is from RNAcentral. Lineage: Bacteria; Pseudomonadati; Pseudomonadota; Gammaproteobacteria; Pseudomonadales; Pseudomonadaceae.
UAGAGUUUGAUCAUGGCUCAGAUUGAACGCUGGCGGCAGGCCUAACACAUGCAAGUCGAGCGGUAGAGAGAAGCUUGCUUCUCUUGAGAGCGGCGGACGGGUGAGUAAUGCCUAGGAAUCUGCCUGGUAGUGGGGGAUAACGUUCGGAAACGGACGCUAAUACCGCAUACGUCCUACGGGAGAAAGCAGGGGACCUUCGGGCCUUGCGCUAUCAGAUGAGCCUAGGUCGGAUUAGCUAGUUGGUGAGGUAAUGGCUCACCAAGGCGACGAUCCGUAACUGGUCUGAGAGGAUGAUCAGUCACACUGGAACUGAGACACGGUCCAGACUCCUACGGGAGGCAGCAGUGGGGAAUAUUGGACAAUGGGCGAAAGCCUGAUCCAGCCAUGCCGCGUGUGUGAAGAAGGUCUUCGGAUUGUAAAGCACUUUAAGUUGGGAGGAAGGGCAGUUACCUAAUACGUGAUUGUUUGACGUACCGACAG